GCGCCCGUAGCUCAGCUGGAUAGAGCACCAGGCUUCGAACCUGGGUGUCGGCCGUUCGAAUCGGUCCGGGCGUACCA
This 77-nucleotide transfer RNA is filed under the name Geobacteraceae bacterium GWC2_53_11. RNAcentral describes it as "tRNA-Arg". It matches the Rfam family "tRNA". From Rfam's summary of the family: Transfer RNA (tRNA) molecules are approximately 80 nucleotides in length. Their secondary structure includes four short double-helical elements and three loops (D, anti-codon, and T loops). RNAcentral also lists the same sequence under 4 other names. The record is from RNAcentral. Lineage: Bacteria; Pseudomonadati; Thermodesulfobacteriota; Desulfuromonadia; Geobacterales; Geobacteraceae.